RNAcentral lists this transfer RNA (56 nucleotides) under Actinemys marmorata (Northwestern pond turtle). RNAcentral's name for it is "partial tRNA-His". The record is from RNAcentral. Lineage: Eukaryota; Metazoa; Chordata; Testudines; Emydidae.
GGUAAUAUAGUUUUAAAACAAACAUUAGAAUGUGGCUCUAAAAAUAGGAGUUAAAA